Molecule: ribosomal RNA, 489 nt
Filed under: uncultured bacterium
Lineage: Bacteria
Description: bacterial SSU rRNA
Rfam family: Bacterial small subunit ribosomal RNA
Source: RNAcentral
AAAGGAAUAGACGGGACCCCGCACAAGCGGUGGAGCAUGUUGUUUAAUUCGAAGAUACGCGAAGAACCUUACCAGGUCUUGACAUCCUCUACAAAGCUAUAGAGAUAUAGUGGAGGUUUGAAGAGUGACAGGUGGUGCAUGGUUGUCGUCAGCUCGUGUCGUGAGAUGUUGGGUUAAGUCCCGCAACGAGCGCAACCCCUAUUGCUAGUUACCAUCAUUAAGUUGGGGACUCUAGCGAGACCGCCGGUGAUAAACCGGAGGAAGGUGGGGAUGACGUCAAAUCAUCAUGCCCCUUAUGACCUGGGCUACAAACGUGCUACAAUGGCCACUACAAAGAGCAGCAAGACCGUGAGGUGGAGCUAAACUGAAAAAGGUGGUCUCAGUUCGGAUUGAAGUCUGCAACUCGACUUCAUGAAGUAGGAAUCGCUAGUAAUCGUGAAUCAGAAUGUCACGGUGAAUACGUUCUCGGGGUUUGUACACACCGCCCGU